AAAAAGACAAACCCUAGAUUUCCGUGCUCAAUGUUUGACUGUUCGUCUUAUAUGAAUUUUUUUUAUAAUUAGUAUUUUUAUUGUUGUUAGAUGAUAAAACAUGAUUAAUAUUUCAUGCGUGACUUAUCUUUUUAAUUUAUUUUUAUAAUUUUUUUAAAUAAAACAGACGGUCAAAUGUUGGACAUGGAAAAUCAGGGUUUGUCUUUUU
This is a non-coding RNA of Oryza nivara, 208 nucleotides long. Lineage: Eukaryota; Viridiplantae; Streptophyta; Magnoliopsida; Poales; Poaceae. The record is from Rfam.